RNAcentral lists this ribosomal RNA (424 nucleotides) under Verrucomicrobiota bacterium. Its description in RNAcentral is "Verrucomicrobia bacterium partial 16S ribosomal RNA". It matches the Rfam family "Bacterial small subunit ribosomal RNA", at positions 355 to 776 of the family's 1533-position model. The record is from RNAcentral. Lineage: Bacteria; Pseudomonadati; Verrucomicrobiota.
UGAGGAAUAUUGGUCAAUGGACGAGAGUCUGAACCAGCCAAGUAGCGUGCAGGAUGACGGCCCUAUGGGUUGUCAACUGCUUUUGUUUGGGAAUAAUCGACAUUACGUGUAAUGUUUUGCAUGUACCAUUCGAAUAAGGACCGGCUAAUUCCGUGCCAGCAGCCGCGGUAAUACGGAAGGUCCAGGCGUUAUCCGGAUUUAUUGGGUUUAAAGGGAGUGUAGGCGGUUGGUUAAGCGUGUUGUGAAAUGUAGAUGCUCAACAUCUGACUUGCAGCGCGAACUGGCUGACUUGAGUACACACAAAGUAGGCGGAAUUCAUGGUGUAGCGGUGAAAUGCUUAGAUAUCAUGAAGAACUCCGAUUGCGAAGGCAGCUUACGGGAGUGUUACUGACGCUUAAGCUCGAAGGUGCGGGUAUCGAACAGG